Long non-coding RNA from Athene cunicularia (burrowing owl), 724 nucleotides. RefSeq lists it as uncharacterized. Lineage: Eukaryota; Metazoa; Chordata; Aves; Strigiformes; Strigidae. The transcript has 4 exons. The record is from RefSeq and is a predicted model, not a curated record.
GCUCUUCUUAAUUGUGUUUCCCUUUUCUUUUUAGGUAACUCGAUAAAACCAAGUGGAGAAAAUUGAAGCAGAGUGGUGGAGCUGGAAACAAAGGUUUUUUGCUGAUGUGGUUGGGUAACAGAUGGGUUAGCAGGGAUCAAAUGAAAGCCUGUUCUAUCUGAUGCUGGACUACAAGUGCUGCCACUCACUUCUGCCUAAAUGAUUACCACUCUGGAUUCAGAACUGACCACAUGGAAGAGCUACAGAUUGAAAUGAAGGAGACAAAAAGGGACUUUGUGGAGAAACUACUUGAUGCAUGUGAUGGAGAGGCUGAAGGAAGAUCUUGAAGACAUCAAGGAAGAAAUGGCUUCAGGCUCUUCUUCCUUGCCUGCAGCUUCACUUCCGGGCACUGCAGGGAACAUUCAACCACAACCAGCUAUCCGCUACCAGGGACUGUUUCUGGAGACUGCUCACCAGCUCCUCUGCUCCUAGGUUGUUCUGGCAUCCCACCACCUCCAUGAGGAAUGCAUAUUUCCCCCCCCCCCCCAGCCUAUGCACCUCGGCUGUGUCCAUGGGGAUCAUCUUCAAAGAAGAUUCACGAGCCAUACAACGACAAACACCACACUGGACUAAGUGUCUGUUGAGAACUUGAAGAAAAGCUGAAACAUGAGAAAAGGACAGAUUUUGUAUGUGUGGUGUAAUAUUCUGAAAUUUUUAGCUGACACAGGGAGUGACAAAUUUGUGG